UGGGGAAUAUUGGACAAUGGGCGAAAGCCUGAUCCAGCCAUGCCGCGUGUGUGAAGAAGGUCUUCGGAUUGUAAAGCACUUUAAGUUGGGAGGAAGGGCAUUAACCUAAUACGUUAGUGUUUUGACGUUACCGACAGAAUAAGCACCGGCUAACUCUGUGCCAGCAGCCGCGGUAAUACAGAGGGGGCAAGCGUUAAUCGGACUUACUGGGCGUAAAGCGCGCGUAGGUGGUUUGUUAAGUUGGAUGUGAAAUCCCCGGGCUCAACCUGGGAACUGCAUUCAAAACUGACUGACUAGAGUAUGGUAGAGGGUGGUGGAAUUUCCUGUGUAGCGGUGAAAUGCGUAGAUAUAGGAAGGAACACCAGUGGCGAAGGCGACCACCUGGACUAAUACUGACACUGAGGUGCGAAAGCGUGGGGAGCAAACA
Molecule: ribosomal RNA, 427 nt
Filed under: uncultured bacterium
Lineage: Bacteria
Description: partial 16S ribosomal RNA
Rfam family: Bacterial small subunit ribosomal RNA
Source: RNAcentral